This 477-nucleotide ribosomal RNA is filed under the name uncultured bacterium. RNAcentral describes it as "partial 16S ribosomal RNA". It matches the Rfam family "Bacterial small subunit ribosomal RNA", at positions 30 to 507 of the family's 1533-position model. The record is from RNAcentral.
AUGAACGCUGGCGGCGUGCCUAACCCCUGCAAGUCGAACGGAGUCCAGCCUUUAAGACCUUCGGGUCAAAGAGGGGAAGACUGAGUGGCGGACGGGUGAGUAACACGUGGGCAACCUGGCUCAUAGAGGGGGAUAACAGAGAGAAAUUUCUGCUAAUACCGCAUAAGCGCACACUGCCGCAUGGCAGAGGGUGAAAAGAGAAUCGCUAUGAGAUGGACCCGCGUCUGAUUAGCCAGUUGGCAGGGUAAGAGCCUACCAAAGCGACGAUCAGUAGCCGAUCUGAGAGGAUGAACGGCCACAUUGGGACUGAGACACGGCCCAAACUCCUACGGGAGGCAGCAGUGGGGGAUAUUGCACAAUGGGGGGAACCCUGAUGCAGCGACGCCGCGUGAGUGAAGAAGUAUUUCGGUAUGUAAAGCUCUAUCAGCAGGGAAGAUAAUGACAGUACCUGAAUAAGAAGCCCCGGCUAACUACGUG